GACGAACGCUGGCGGCGUGCCUAAUACAUGCAAGUAGAACGCUGAAGCUUGGUGCUUGCACCGAGCGGAUGAGUUGCGAACGGGUGGGUAACGCGUAGGUAACCUGCCUGGUAGCGGGGGAUAACUAUUGGAAACGAUAGCUAAUACCGCAUAAAAUGGAUUAUCGCAUGAUAAUUCAUUGAAAGGUGCAAAUGCAUCACUACCAGAUGGACCUGCGUUGUAUUAGCUAGUUGGUGGGGUAACGGCUCACCAAGGCGACGAUACAUAGCCGACCUGAGAGGGUGAUCGGCCACACUGGGACUGAGACACGGCCCAGACUCCUACGGGAGGCAGCAGUAGGGAAUCUUCGGCAAUGGACGGAAGUCUGACCGAGCAACGCCGCGUGAGUGAAGAAGGUUUUCGGAUCGUAAAGCUCUGUUGUAAGAGAAGAACGAGUGUGAGAGUGGAAAGUUCACACUGUGACGGUAUCUACCAGAAA
RNAcentral lists this ribosomal RNA (478 nucleotides) under Streptococcus sp. oral taxon 070. Its description in RNAcentral is "bacterial SSU rRNA". It matches the Rfam family "Bacterial small subunit ribosomal RNA", at positions 28 to 489 of the family's 1533-position model. Lineage: Bacteria; Bacillati; Bacillota; Bacilli; Lactobacillales; Streptococcaceae. The record is from RNAcentral.